Long non-coding RNA from Peromyscus eremicus (cactus mouse), 808 nucleotides. RefSeq lists it as uncharacterized. Lineage: Eukaryota; Metazoa; Chordata; Mammalia; Rodentia; Cricetidae. The record is from RefSeq and is a predicted model, not a curated record. The transcript is spliced from 4 exons.
AGGUGGGGGCCUGAGCCCAGGGUUUGGUAGGCAAGGGGGGAGGUGGGUGCAAUGUUUCUUCUUUUGAUGUGUCCUUGUCUCUACCUCAGGGCCCUGGACGCCCUGCCUGUUCAGAAGAGACUGUGGAUGUCCCCAAGCCUCGUGGUCCCUGCUUCGGAUGAUGUGGGGCAGCAUCCAUCUGAACGCAUAUCACUACCAAGUCCAAGGUUUUGGAAGGAAGCCCUUCUCCUCUCCCAUCUCAGUAUUAGACUAUCGGACCUUGGGACACGGGACUCAGGCCGCUGACUCUGCAUCCCUCACAAGUGCACAGAGCUGCCUGCCCUUUUGCCUUGUGUCCAUCCUGGAGCGGCCUUCUGCCAGCUUCUAUGUUGCCUGUCCUUGGUCAGCUUGAAUCUCUUGAGAGAGCUGAGUCUUGUGUGUGCCUAGGCCCUGCCACAGGUAGGGCCGUGGACGGCCUGCCUGUUGAGGCGAGUUUAUGGAUGUCCCCGGCCCCCAGUGGUCCCUGCUUCGGAUGAUUUGGGGCAAUUCCAUCUGAAUGCACAUCACUACCAAGUCCAAGGUUUUGGAAGGAAGCCCUUCUCCUCUCCCAUCUCAAGAUUACACCAUGGGACCCUGGAAGAGGGGACUCAGGCCCCUGUCCCUGGAUCCUUGACCACUGCACACUGCUGCCUGCCUUUUCCUUGUGUCCAUCCGGGAACAGCCUUCUGCCAGCUUUGAUGUUACCUGUCCUCGGUCCACUUGAAUCUGUUGAGAGAGCUGAGUCCUGUGUGUGCCUAGGCCCUGCCACAGGUAGGUGGGUGUCCAUAGA